Molecule: long non-coding RNA, 970 nt
Filed under: Callithrix jacchus (white-tufted-ear marmoset)
Lineage: Eukaryota; Metazoa; Chordata; Mammalia; Primates; Cebidae
Description: lncRNA (ENSCJAG00000079115.1)
Rfam family: Y RNA (bases 177-275)
Source: RNAcentral
GUCACUGGAUGUAAGAGACUUUUCAGGGCUUAAAAAUAAGCCGAUACGGUUUGCACAAGAAUUAUUAAAAGUUUUCCCUAGGUAUUUGUCGAAUUACCACUAGAUGUAUUAUUAUCUAUGGAGCAAACCUUAUUUCGAACCCAGAACAAGAAAAAAGAUCUUUGUAAGAAAUCGGAGGCUUGUCUGAGUGCAGUGGUAUUUACAACUAAUUGAUCACAAAUUACAGAUUUCUUUGUUCUUUCUCCACUCCCACUGCUUCAAUUGACUAGCCUAAAAGGAGAAGAAACAGCUAUUUUACUUCUUAAUUAUUAAAUAAAUUUAUACAAGCAUUUUCCUCCAACGUAGCAACAAAAGUAUCUUUUCAAAGCUUCCCUUGUUUACUAUCUAGACACUUAAAUGCAGUCGUAUUUGAAUUUUCUUAAUUCGGAACACUUGGAAAAUUAUCUAAGGGCACUUACAAAACUAAAGAAACUUAAGUAGAACAUAGCAGCUCAAUUAAAUGCUAAAGUAAAAAUGAAUAAGUUUUUGCAAUGAGAAAACAUUUUUGGUGAUCAUAUGUUAAAAUAGAAAACAUGUCUUAAAAACUGAAUCCUUCAUCAAGAUGAACAUUUCUCCAAUAUUGUCUUUGCGGGGGGAGGGGAACUUUGCAAUAGAACGUGGAUCCUGUUCAUGUUUACCUACGAUUGAAUUUGCCAGAAUUCGGUGUUACGUAUGCAGUUAUGCACGAAACAGCUUGCUCUGAGUUCAACAGGGAAUACAGGCCCCUGGUUCUUCUCAGUGUUUGGGAAGGAGAGUGGCCCAAGUUUGGAAGAAGCAGCCAAUUCUCUGACGAGGAAUUGGGAGUCAAGGAUUCCCCGGGGAAAAUUGUUUGUAUUUUUGAUCAAUACCUGGCAAAUAUGAAAGACCGAGGCCAUUAUUCACCAAAUCAAUUCUCUGGUAAUAAAAUAUUGGAGCAAAUGUUAACUUUAAG